Molecule: long non-coding RNA, 715 nt
Organism: Lampris incognitus (smalleye Pacific opah)
Lineage: Eukaryota; Metazoa; Chordata; Actinopteri; Lampriformes; Lampridae
Exons: 3
Source: RefSeq, a predicted model, not a curated record
CUCAACACACGUGCUUCAGUCACGCACGCUCAUCUGAACCGAGCAGCCGUGUCCGAGGGAACAACGGGCCAGGCGACUUUAACUUCUGGGGGGAAACAGAGCUCGAUUGUCUGUAACAGAACCCAAUUGCCCCUCGGGGAUGAAUAAAGUGUUCUGAUUCUGAUACCUGCCGUCAGCGGAGACUGAAGAGGUCACUUAGAUGCUGAAACGUGUUGCAGAGGAGAAAGAUUUCGGGAAAAGUUCUUAUUCCCGAAGAGAAUUUUCGCCCGGAAUGCCAAGGGUGUAAUUCCACUGGGCGGACCGGUUCUCAUCGCCGAAAACGGCAAAAAUAAUUACGUUGAUGGUGCCGUGUUUUAAUCUUCCCUCUGUCAGCGAUGCUCUAAACAGGGCUUCUGAAGAAAGAGCAGUCGUCUGGUAUCACACUUCCAAGCCCUUACUGCAUACGAGUACACAUUUUUCUGUGUUAAAUGUGGGCAUAAUCCACCUGCGGCAGUGAUGGACCUCCACAAAACGGGGCGUUUUCAACAUGCCAGUGAGUGACAUGUGACCCCUCUGCCCUGAGGGAUACACGGGCCAAGUCAAUGUACAAGAUGACCACGCAUGCCUUUGCCCCCGAGGAAGAAUUAAAUUGUGCCUUUUCAAUUUUUUGUAGUGAGUAGUUGCAUUCUUUAUCCAGCGUUUUACUACCUGGAGAUCAGAUGUUCUUAACACUGAA